This 485-nucleotide ribosomal RNA is filed under the name uncultured bacterium. RNAcentral describes it as "partial 16S ribosomal RNA". It matches the Rfam family "Bacterial small subunit ribosomal RNA", at positions 30 to 507 of the family's 1533-position model. The record is from RNAcentral.
AUUGAACGCUGGCGGCAGGCUUAACACAUGCAAGUCGAGCGGGGGAAGGUAGCUUGCUACCGGACCUAGCGGCGGACGGGUGAGUAAUGGUUAGGAAUCUGCCUAUUAGUGGGGGACAACAUCUCGAAAGGGAUGCUAAUACCGCAUACGUCCUACGGGAGAAAGCAGGGGAUCUUCGGACCUUGCGCUAAUAGAUGAGCCUAAGUCGGAUUAGCUAGUUGGUGGGGUAAAGGCCUACCAAGGCGACGAUCUGUAGCGGGUCUGAGAGGAUGAUCCGCCACACUGGGACUGAGACACGGCCCAGACUCCUACGGGAGGCAGCAGUGGGGAAUAUUGGACAAUGGGGGGAACCCUGAUCCAGCCAUGCCGCGUGUGUGAAGAAGGCCUUAUGGUUGUAAAGCACUUUAAGCGAGGAGGAGGCUACUUUAGUUAAUACCUAGAGAUAGUGGACGUUACUCGCAGAAUAAGCACCGGCUAACUCUGUG